GUGGGCAUAGCUCAGUGGUAGAGCGCGUGCUUAGCACACACGAAGUCUAGGUUCAAUCCCCAGUACCUCCA
Molecule: transfer RNA, 71 nt
Filed under: Camelus bactrianus (Bactrian camel)
Lineage: Eukaryota; Metazoa; Chordata; Mammalia; Artiodactyla; Camelidae
Also listed under: 2 other names
Rfam family: tRNA
About the family: Transfer RNA (tRNA) molecules are approximately 80 nucleotides in length.
Source: Rfam by way of RNAcentral